This 254-nucleotide ribosomal RNA is filed under the name uncultured bacterium. RNAcentral describes it as "partial 16S ribosomal RNA". It matches the Rfam family "Bacterial small subunit ribosomal RNA", at positions 524 to 776 of the family's 1533-position model. The record is from RNAcentral.
UACAGAGGUCUCAAGCGUUGUUCGGAUUCAUUGGGCGUAAAGGGUGCGUAGGUGGCGGGGCAAGUUUGGUGUGAAAUCCCGGGGCUCAACCCCGGAACUGCACUGAAUACUGCCUUGCUUGAGCACUGGAGAGGGAACUGGAAUUUACGGUGUAGCAGUGAAAUGCGUAGAUAUCGUAAGGAAGACCAGUGGCGAAGGCGAGUUCCUGGACAGUUGCUGACACUGAGGCACGAAAGGCUAGGGGAGCAAACGGG